UGGGGAAUUUUGGACAAUGGGGGAAACCCUGAUCCAGCCAUCCCGCGUGUGCGAUGAAGGCCUUCGGGUUGUAAAGCACUUUUGGCAGGAAAGAAACGUCGCGGGUUAAUACCCUGCGAAACUGACGGUACCUGCAGAAUAAGCACCGGCUAACUACGUGCCAGCAGCCGCGGUAAUACGUAGGGUGCAAGCGUUAAUCGGAAUUACUGGGCGUAAAGCGUGCGCAGGCGGUUCGGAAAGAAAGAUGUGAAAUCCCAGAGCUUAACUUUGGAACUGCAUUUUUAACUACCGGGCUAGAGUGUGUCAGAGGGAGGUGGAAUUCCGCGUGUAGCAGUGAAAUGCGUAGAUAUGCGGAGGAACACCGAUGGCGAAGGCAGCCUCCUGGGAUAACACUGACGCUCAUGCACGAAAGCGUGGGGAGCAAACAGGAUUAGAUACCCUGGUAGUCCACGCCCUAAACGAUGUCAACUAGCUGUUGGGGCCUUCGGGCCUUGGUAGCGCAGCUAACGCGUGAAGUUGACCGCCUGGGGAGUACGGUCGCAAGAUUAAAACUCAAAUGAAUUGAC
Molecule: ribosomal RNA, 566 nt
Filed under: uncultured bacterium
Lineage: Bacteria
Description: partial 16S ribosomal RNA
Rfam family: Bacterial small subunit ribosomal RNA
Source: RNAcentral